RNAcentral lists this ribosomal RNA (453 nucleotides) under bacterium t8. Its description in RNAcentral is "bacterial SSU rRNA". It matches the Rfam family "Bacterial small subunit ribosomal RNA", at positions 40 to 477 of the family's 1533-position model. The record is from RNAcentral.
GGGCGUGCCUGAUACAUGCAAGUCGAACGCUUCUUUCCUCCCGAGUGCUUGCACUCAAUUGGAAAGAGGAGUGGCGGAUGGGUGAGUAACACGUGGGUAACCUACCCAUCAGAGGGGGAUAACACUCGGAAACAGGUGCUAAUACCGCAUAACAGUUUAUGCCGCAUGGCAUAAGAGUGAAAGGCGCUUUCGGGUGUCGCUGAUGGAUGGACCCGCGGUGCAUUAGCUAGUUGGUGAGGUAACGGCUCACCAAGGCCACGAUGCAUAGCCGACCUGAGAGGGUGAUCGGCCACACUGGGGACUGAGACACGGCCCAGACUCCUACGGGAGGCAGCAGUAGGGAAUCUUCGGCAAUGGACGAAAGUCUGACCGAGCAACGCCGCGUGAGUGAAGAAGGUUUUCGGAUCGUAAAACUCUGUUGUUAGAGAAGAACAAGGACGUUAGUAACUGAAC